GCCUAGGAGGCAGCAGUGGGGAAUUUUGGACAAUGGGGGCAACCCUGAUCCAGCCAUUCCGCGUGAGUGAAGAAGGCCUUCGGGUUGUAAAGCUCUUUCGGCAGGAACGAAACGGCUCGCUCUAACAUAGCGGGCUACUGACGGUACCUGAAGAAGAAGCACCGGCUAACUACGUGCCAGCAGCCGCGGUACUACGUAGGGUGCGAGCGUUAAUCGGAAUUACUGGGCGUAAAGCGUGCGCAGGCGGCUUUUUAAGCCAGAUGUGAAAUCCCCGGGCUUAACCUGGGAACUGCAUUUGGAACUGGAAGGCUAGAGUGCGGCAGAGGGGGGUAGAAUUCCACGUGUAGCAGUGAAAUGCGUAGAGAUGUGGAGGAAUACCGAUGGCGAAGGCAGCCCCCUGGGUCGACACUGACGCUCAUGCACGAAAGCGUGGGGAGCAAACAGGAUUAGAUACCCCAGUAGUCC
This 465-nucleotide ribosomal RNA is filed under the name uncultured beta proteobacterium. RNAcentral describes it as "bacterial SSU rRNA". It matches the Rfam family "Bacterial small subunit ribosomal RNA", at positions 337 to 796 of the family's 1533-position model. Lineage: Bacteria; Pseudomonadati; Pseudomonadota; Betaproteobacteria. The record is from RNAcentral.